GCCAGUGUGGCUCAGUGGAUAGAGCAUCAGCCUGCAGGCUGAAGGGUCCUGGGUUUGAUUCUGGUCAAAGGCA
This 73-nucleotide transfer RNA is filed under the name Myotis davidii. It matches the Rfam family "tRNA". From Rfam's summary of the family: Transfer RNA (tRNA) molecules are approximately 80 nucleotides in length. Lineage: Eukaryota; Metazoa; Chordata; Mammalia; Chiroptera; Vespertilionidae. The record is from Rfam by way of RNAcentral.